RNAcentral lists this ribosomal RNA (387 nucleotides) under uncultured bacterium. RNAcentral's name for it is "bacterial SSU rRNA". It matches the Rfam family "Bacterial small subunit ribosomal RNA", at positions 28 to 417 of the family's 1533-position model. The record is from RNAcentral.
GACGAACGCUGGCGGCGUGCUUAACACAUGCAAGUCGAGCGGUAAGGCCCUUUCGGGGGUACACGAGCGGCGAACGGGUGAGUAACACGUGGGUGACCUGCCCUCAGCUCUGGGAUAAGCCUGGGAAACCGGGCCUAAUACUGGAUAUGACUCCAUGACGCAUGUUGUGGGGUGGAAAGCCUUGUGCGGCUGAGGAUGGGCCCGCGGCCUAUCAGCUUGUUGGUGGGGUGAGGCCUACCAAGGCGACGACGGGUAGCCGGCCUGAGAGGGCGACCGGCCACACUGGGACUGAGACACGGCCCAGACUCCUACGGGAGGCAGCAGUGGGGAGUCUUGCGCAAUGGGCGAAAGCCUGACGCAGCGACGCCGCGUGAGGGAUGACGGCCU